UAGUGGCGAACGGGUGAGUAACACACGUAAGUAACCUACCUUUAAGACGAGGAUAACAAUCGGAAACGGUUGCUAAGACUGGAUAGGAAACAAAAAGGCAUCUUUUUGUUUUUAAAAGACCUUCUUCGGAGGGUAUGCUUAAAGAGAGGCUUGCGCCACAUUAGUUAGUUGGUGAGGUAAAGGCUUACCAAGAUUAUGAUGUGUAGCUGGACUGAGAGGUUGAACAGCCACAUUGGGACUGAGACACGGCCCAAACUCCUACGGGAGGCAGCAGUAGGGAAUUUUCGGCAAUGGAGGAAACUCUGACCGAGCGACGCCGCGUGAACGAUGAAGUAUUUCGGUAUGUAAAGUUCUUUUAUUGAAGAAGAAAAAAUAGUGGAAAAACUAUCUUGACGUUAUUCAAUGAAUAAGCCCCGGCUAACUAUGUGCCAGCAGCCGCGGUAAGACAUAGGGGGCGAGCGUUAUCCGGAAUUAUUGGGCGUAAAGGGUGCGUAGGCGGUUAGAUAAGUCUAUAAUUUAAUUUCAGUGCUUAACGCUGUCUUGUUAUAGAAACUGUCUUGACUAGAGUGAGAUAGAGGCAAGCGGAAUUCCAUGUGUAGCGGUAAAAUGUGUAAAUAUAUGGAGGAACACCAGAAGCGUAGGCGGCUUGCUGGGUCUUUACUGACGCUGAGGCACGAAAGCGUGGGGAGCAAACAGGAUUACAUACCCUGGUACUCCACGCUGUAAACGAUGAGUACUAAGUGUCGGGGUAACCUCGGUACUGAAGUUAACACAUUAAGUACUCCGCCUGAGUAGUACGUACGCAAGUAUGAAACUUAAAGGAAUUGACGGGACUCCGCACAAGCGGUGGAUCAUGUUGUUUAAUUCGAAGAUACACGAAAAACCUUACCAGGUCUUGACAUACUCUGCAAAGCUAUAGAAAUAUAGUGGAGGUUAUCAGGGAUACAGGUGGUGCAUGGUUGUCGUCAGUUCGUGUCGUGAGAUGUUAGGUUAAGUCCUAAAACGAACGCAACCCCUGUCGCUAGUUGCCAGCACGUAAUGGUGGGGACUUUAGCGAGACUGCCAAUUAAAAAUUGGAGGAAGGUGGGGAUAACGUCAAAUCAUCAUGCCCCUUAUGAUCUGGGCUACAAACGUGAUACAAUGGCUAUUACAAAGAGUAGCUGAAACGCGAGUUUUUAGCCAAUCUCAAAAAGGUAGUCUCAGUACGGAUUGAAGUCUGCAACUCGACUUCAUGAAGCUGGAAUCGCUAGUAAUCGCGAAUCAGCAUGUCGCGGUGAAUACGUUCUCGGGGUUUGUACACACCGCCCGUCAAACCACGAAAGUUAGCAAUACCCGAAAGCAGUGGCUUAACUUUGCAAGAAGAGGGAGCUGUCUAAGGUAGGGUUGAUGAUUGGGGUUAAGUCGUAACAAGGUAUCCUUACCGGAAGGUGAGGAUGGAUCACCUCCUUUCU
Molecule: ribosomal RNA, 1451 nt
Filed under: Rubus stunt phytoplasma
Lineage: Bacteria; Bacillati; Mycoplasmatota; Mollicutes; Acholeplasmatales; Acholeplasmataceae
Description: 16S ribosomal RNA
Rfam family: Bacterial small subunit ribosomal RNA
Source: RNAcentral